Long non-coding RNA from Musca domestica (house fly), 639 nucleotides. RefSeq lists it as uncharacterized. The transcript has 4 exons. Lineage: Eukaryota; Metazoa; Arthropoda; Insecta; Diptera; Muscidae. The record is from RefSeq and is a predicted model, not a curated record.
GCGUUCAAUACAGUUUGAUGAACUUUGGCGUUUGUCUCGAAAACACAUGAAAGUAAAUAAAUGAAAUAAAAUUAUUUGUUGUUAAUGUAAAUAUGUGAUUUGUAUCAUUGACGUGUAUAUAAAAGCAACGGCGUCAAAUGUUAUGUUGCCGUCGUUAAUUUGCAGUGGCCUUGGGAACGCCACUAAAUUCAAGUUCCGGGAAAAUCGAAAAAUUAUCUUUUCGAAAUUCAAAAGCAGCAAAAAGGCUAUUCCUUCUUUAUUUCAAAAUAAAUAAAUCCACAAUGUGAGCAGUAAGCCCCAAAUAGUUCGUUAUAGACCCCAUGAAAUGAGUUGAAGAUAAUCCCCUUAAAAUGUACCUAAUCGAAUUGUGGGUUUGUAGACUAAAUGACCAUAAGAAAAAUGGCCUGAUAUACAUAUACCUUUAACGUAGUCCAUAAUAGAAAGACAGGAUAGCAUUGUUUCAAAAUUCCAUGGUAGGAAACAUGGUAGAAGAAUACAUGUAGUCGCAUUGACACAACUGGUGGGACAAUGAACUGUCAAACCAAUCUUGGAAUUGAAAAUUUGGAAUGAAAAAUGAAAGGAAAUAUAUAAAAAUCUAUUUAUUUUUGAAAAUAUAUUUUACAUUUUUUGACAUUUCAA